Molecule: long non-coding RNA, 3915 nt
Organism: Bubalus bubalis (water buffalo)
Lineage: Eukaryota; Metazoa; Chordata; Mammalia; Artiodactyla; Bovidae
Exons: 4
Source: RefSeq, a predicted model, not a curated record
UUAAGCGAUAACCUCCCUGGUGCCCUCCCCACAGAGUUUUCUCUUGGUCCUGUGGGAGCAUCAGUGUGGUUUGUAGGAAGUGCUCCAGGGGCUUCUAAGGGGAGGCCUGGGUUAAGGAUGUGGCUCCUGGUCCAUUUGUGAGAGCUGAGGCCCAGCUUCAGUCUGAGGAGAGGCAGCAGGGUUGGCCUAGCUGGAUUUGGACUGGGGUAGUCAGUCAGCUCACACGGUCUGUGUGAGCCAAGGGUUAGGAGCUCUCUCUGAGGAGAGAACAAUCAAGAAAUAAGUUCACAGGCUGGUCUCUAGGUAGGAAGUGAUUGUUCCCGAAUCUCUCCUGAGACAGGACAGGGGAGGUGGGCCUUUUCAGCUUUUCAAGGUCCUUCUGUCUGUAGGUGAAGUGGUUGCAGGCUAUAGAGCUGUGCGGAUGCCUUUGAAGGUAUUUUCUCAAGAUGCAGAGGUGUGUUUGCUACAUAACAUCCCGAGAGAAGACAGAGCAGGAGGAAGAAGAGGAGGAAAUGGCAGCUUCUCAGGGAUGGCUGACAUUCCAGGAUGUGGCCGUAGACUUCACCCAAGAGGAGAGGGAGUGCCUGGACCUUGGUCAGCAGGAGUUGACAGGGACGUGAUGUUAGAGAACUAUGGGAACCUGGCCUCCUUGGGACUUGUGUCUCUAAGCCAGACCUGGUCACCUUUCUGGAGCAAAUGAAGGAUUCCAGGAAUAUAAGGAGAAUGGAGACAACACCCAUAUUCCCAGCUGCAUUCUUCUCUACACACCCCGUGUGUGAUGCCAAGAAAUCCAGGCUUCAAAGAUUUAUGUCCAAUAGAAAAACCUAUAAAUAUAUGAAAUAUUUUACCUUGUAAAUUUACAUUUAAUGAAAGACUGGGAACAUACAAGGGCAUGUGAAGGGCAGAGAGGAUGUUAUGAUGGACAUAACCCAUCUGGGACAGUUUCUCAUAAUGUAAACAUUACUGCCAAGAGAAAUCAACUUUGUGAAUCAAACUGGGAAAAACACCAAUUUAAGUCAUUAACAUCUGCAGAGAAGUGUAUGUUUGUCAGCAAAGACCCACAUCGUUUUUUGACAUAUACAUGUUCUCUGAAAGGAACUGUGGAAAAUCUGGAAAGUCAUCUAGUCUCUUCUGCAGAUAAUCAUUCAAACCACUCUAAAUGCAAUAUUCAAUUAAACAUACAUUCAAAUAUGUCUGAAGACCAGAAAUUUAAAAAUGAGGGAAAAGAUUCCCAGUGUAAUCAACUUGAGAGAUCCUUUAGCAAGGGUUCAGUAUUCUUCAAACAACAGAUUUUUUUUCCCUUUUCUAAAAUCUGCAAUGUUGAUAAUAAUGGAAGAGACUUUAUUCAAACAUCAAUGGUCAAUGCAUAUGGGGGUGUAGUUAAUGCGGGACAACUUUUCAUGUGUUGUAAAAUGAGUAAGGCUUUAAGAAAGAGCUCUACCCCCAAUAAUUACAAGAGUCUUUGUGAUGGAGUUAGAAAGUAUUUAUUCAAUGAAACUGGACAUAACAUUGACCAAGGCUCAAGUCUCAUGAAACACCAGGGAAAUCAAUUUUUAGACAAUGAUUCUGGAAGUAAUAAAUGUAGGAAUAUAUUUAUCAAAGAGCAGAUGUUUCUCUGUAUAAAAGUGCGGAUAUUGGAAAGAAGGCUUAUAAUUGUAGUGAAUAUAGUAAUGUUUGUAAUCAGUCUUGUAAACUUAGACAACAGCAGAGUAUUGAGAAUGUGGAGAAACAUUACAAGAGUAACCCAUAUGAGAAAAUAGUCACUAAAUCAUUAAAUCUAAGUAGUCAUAGGAAAAUCCAUACAGAAAGGAAGCCUUUCAAAUGUACAGAGUGUGGCAAAGCCUUUAUCUGUGCCUCGUGUCUUACUCAACAUCAACAAACCCAUACUGGGGAGAGACCUUAUAAAUGUAAGGAAUGUGGCAAAGUCUAUACCUGUUGCUCAAAUCUUACUCAACAUCAGGUAAUUCAUACUGGAGAAAAGCCUUACAGAUGUAGAGAAUGUGGCAAAGCCUUUAAUAGGUGUUCAUAUCUCACUAUGCAUCAGCGAAUUCAUAUAGGGGAUACGCUAUACAAAUGUAGAGAGUGUGCCAAAGCCUUUAUCUGUGGCUCACAUCUUAUUCAACAUCAGCAAAUUCAUACUGAAAAGAAGCCUUAUAAAUGCACAGAAUGUGACAAGUCUUUUAAGCAGCGUGGAAGCCUAACUCAAUGUCAGACAAUUCAUACUGAGGAGAAGCAGUAUAAAUGUACAGAGUGUGGCAAAGCCUUUAAGCACAGCUCAAGUCUUACUCAACAUCAGCGAAUCCAUACUGGAGAGAGACCUUAUAAAUGUAAAUAUUGUGGCAAAGCCUUUAAUUGUAAAUCACAUCUUACUCAACAUAACCAAAUUCAUCCUACAAGGAAGGCUUAUAAAUGUACUGAAUGUGGUAAAGCCUUUAAUCAGAAGUCAAGUCUUUCUAGACAUCAGAUAAUUCAUACUUGGAGAGAAACCUUAUAAAUGUAAGGAUUGUGGCAAAAUCUAACCAAAUUUCAAGCCUUACUCAACAUCAGCAAAUUCACAUUGGGCAGAAAUCAUCCAGAUGCAAAGAAACGUGGCAAAACCUUUACCCAAAGCUCAAGUCUUGGUCAACAUCAGAGAAUUCAUCCUUCAGAGAAACUUAAAAACCUAAACAUAAGGAAAGUGGCAAAGGCUUUAAUCACUCUCACCUCACUCAACAUCAGAGAACACAUAUUGGAGAGAAACUCUAGUAAUAUAAUAAGUGAUGAAAGAGGUUUGUCCUAAAUACACACUUUAGAAAACGUGAGCCUGUGUUUAUACCAGAAAGAUAUGUGAAUGAUGUAAAAACAGAUGUAGGAAAGUAUUUAAUCAAUAAUCAAAUCUAAAUAAGUAUCAGAGAAUGUGUACUAGAAAGCAUUUCGUCAGUUGCCUUCUCUGAAUUCACUCUAAAGGAGAAUUACUGUAUAUGAACUUACGUUUUUGAUGGCUGAUGCCCCAAACAUAAGAGAAGCCCUUGUGUAUUGAGUGGGCAUAAUUUAUAUUUGUUCUUCAUUAGAAGAUUAAGGACACAGGAAUGCAAAAUGUACAGUGAACAUCUAAAUGGAGGCGUUCUGUCAUUGAAGUCUAACAUCCCUGGAGGUCACCAUGAUGUCAGUGAUCAGGGAAUGAUUCUGUGUAUUAAAGUAAGGCAGGUUUGUUCUAAGUUUUCACUAGUUAUGUCACUUGUUUUUUAAGGAUGAAACAACGACAGUUUGCUGAAAUCUUGGUAUAUCUUUAUAAUAUCACCGAAAUCUUGAUGUAUCUUGAUAAUAUCCACAGUUCACUGAAAUCUUGAUGUAUCUUGAUAAUAUCCACAGUUCACUGAAAUCUUGAUGUAUCUUGAUAAUAUCCACAGUUCACUGAAAUCUUGAUGUAUCUUGAUAAUAUCCACAGUUCACUGAAAUCUUGAUGUAUCUUGAUAAUAUCCACAGUUCACUGAAAUCUUGAUGUAUCUUGAUAAUAUCCACAGUUCACUGAAAUCUUGAUGUAUCUUGAUAAUAUCAACAGAAAUAUAUCAAUAAUAACAGUUCACUGAAAUCUUGAUAUAUCUUUGUAGUAUCUUUAUAAUAUCAACAGAAUAUUAGUUGACAUGGCUGAAAUAAUGCCAUCUUCUUUAAUAUCCUAGAAAAGUAUAGGACACCUUUCCUGGAAAGGUCAUAUGAUUAACAUAGGUUCCUGUUUAUGAAACAAUUAGCUUCCAUUCUGUACACCAUAGAAAUACUUUUCUCAGAUAAUUAUAUCAAAGGCAUGAAUAUCUUUCUCUGCUUGUAAUCAGUUAUUUUGAUCAAGGAUCCCACAGUGAACUGUAAAAGGUUUUAUGUCAACUGUAUGUGCUAUUAAUAUAUGUUAAUUAAUAAAACUGAGUGGUCUUUAGUGUUACA